Homo sapiens (human) is the source of this 947-nucleotide long non-coding RNA. RefSeq lists it as uncharacterized. The record is from RefSeq and is a predicted model, not a curated record. The transcript has 3 exons. NCBI's taxonomy places the organism in Eukaryota, Metazoa, Chordata, Mammalia, Primates, Hominidae.
CGAAGGUGUUGUAGAAAACUAACAUCAUGGUAACAUUGGUACUAUAUUUUCAAGAGAGAUAAAGCAGAUUGUUAGGUAAUGAGUAGUUUGUGAACCAAUAAUGCAAAGAGAUUCUAUUUUGCCUCCCCAACCCCACAGCUCAGGUUUUUCUUCUCCUUUGGGCAACUGCUUAAAUUCAGAGGCAGCUACCAAAAGGAAACGUCUCUCUACCCCCUACUGUUUCUUCUGUGCAAAAGAAUGUAAAAUAUGAGGCUUCUCUUUCGCAUGUAGGCCUGAGAAGUUUUGACAAGAAUGUGUAUGCAGGGAGAAAUGACUGGUGAAAGAAUUUAGAAAGAAUGUAUGGGGACAAAAAGGAAUCACAUGAGCUGAUUUAAAUUCUUCUUGUGACAAGGGGUGUGUGCAAACAUGAAGGAACUAGGGUUUUGUUUGUAAAUGUUUAUCGGUUUGGGAGAGGCAAAGAUCACAGACUGUGAUAUUCUUGGGAUAAACAGCUCAAUAUGUUGGUCCCAAGCGACACCAUGUGGAAUUGAGAAGAGGGCCAUUCUCAUCUAAACACCCAUCGGAGCCCAGAGAAAACAGAAGAAAAGUUGCAACAGAGUGAAAAAUCAGGAAAACCUCAUCGAGAUAGAUAUUCUGCCAGAGACAAAACGAAACCUCAUCGAGAUAGAUAUUCUGCCAGAGAAAAAUGAGACAUCAGAUAUGUGUGAUCACAGGUCAUAGACUCAGUGAAGUGCCACUGUCACAAUGCUCUCAUGCCAAACCUUGACUGCAAAGCUGAGAUGUUAAUAUGGAACACCUGAGAGGGCUGGCACUUCAGCGUCCUUAUUCCUCCAGAACCACACCACAAAAGUCACCUUCUCCCCAGACAGAUUCUCUACAAAAUGCCUUGCAGCCGAGGUGUGGUGGAAAGAAUAUUGUAUUUGGAAUAAAAAAUUUUUGAUUUUGCA